UACGGGGGGGGCAAGCGUUACUCGGAAUUACUGGGCGUAAAGCGUGCGUAGGUGGUUCGUUAAGUCUUAUGUGAAAGCCCUGGGCUCAACCUGGGAAUGGCAUUGGAUACUGGCGACCUAGAGUGCGGUAGAGGGUGGCGGAAUUCCCGGUGUAGCAGUGAAAUGCGUAGAUAUCGGGAGGAACAUCCGUGGCGAAGGCGGCCACCUGGACCAGCACUGACACUGAGGCACGAAAGCGUGGGGAGCAAACAGG
Molecule: ribosomal RNA, 253 nt
Filed under: uncultured bacterium
Lineage: Bacteria
Description: partial 16S ribosomal RNA
Rfam family: Bacterial small subunit ribosomal RNA
Source: RNAcentral